Molecule: ribosomal RNA, 501 nt
Filed under: uncultured bacterium
Lineage: Bacteria
Description: bacterial SSU rRNA
Rfam family: Bacterial small subunit ribosomal RNA
Source: RNAcentral
AAGUCGAACGGAGUGACCCAUUGAAGUUGGAGUGCUGACACAAAGACGGAUUGGAUUUCACUCAGUGGCAGACGGUGGAGUAACGCGUGGGUAAUCUACCUCAAAGACUGGGAUAACUUCUGGAAACGGAUGCUAAUACCGGAUGAUUCAUAUUUAGAUAACUAGAUAUGCUAAAAGGAGCUUUUGCUUCACUUUGAGAUGAGCUUGCGUUGUAUUAGCUAGUUGGUGGGGUAAUGGCCUACCAAGGCAACGAUGCAUAUCCGAGCUGAGAGGCUGAUCGGACACAUUGGGACUGAGACACGGCCCAGACUCCUACGGGAGACAGCAGUUAGGAAUAUUCGUCAAUGGGGGAAACCCUGAACGAGCAAUGCCGCGUGAAUGAAUGACAAUCCUCUGGAUUGUAAAGUUCUGUUGUAAAGGAAGAAACCUUACUAUAGGUAAUGAUAGUAAGCUGACGGUACUUUACCAGAAAGCCCCGGCUAACUACGUGCCAGCAGCUGC